UUUCUUUUUCUUGGUGAAAAACAGUCUUAUUUAUAAUUACUUUGCGGCUAGGGCUUGGAAGGUAAGUGGAAGGUCUGCAUGCUAAAGUGUCCUUCAACAAAAUACUAAAACCAAAAAUAUCCCAAACGCACCGAUCAGUGUGUGACUGUGUGUUUCAGAUAAAGCUCCAAGGUAGACAGAAUAAAGAGCAGUGUUAAAGUGUGGCUAGAAAUAUAAAGUGGAUGGGAAAAGUUAAACUGCCAAUCCUUUUGUUAAUAAAAAGCAACUCCCAAACCACAAACUGUUACAUUAAACAUCUGUGUAGGCUCGCAUUCAUCAAGGUCGUGAUCGUCUUCAGAGCUUGAAAGAAGAAGCCCACUGGACUUCUUCAAGUUUGUGAAGACUCUCAUCCAAGAGGCAUCUUCAGUUCUAAAGUCAAAGGUGGAGAGUCCCAUCCAUUUAACCCCUAGUGGGGGUUGUUGCCUUUGGAGGGGGUCCUGGGAGUCGUUGACCUACUACUGAUCAUGUGUGUUUCUUCUUAACUCACCUUUUUUCAUUCUUUAUGAGUUCAUACACCCCUCUGCAUCCAAUCACUGGUUAUUAGUAAUCUCUGCUGUCUUCCACAAUGUGUCUAUUGUCCUGUUUCCCUCCCCUCAUCCCCAACCCCCUGCGGCAGAUGCCUGCCCCUCCCUGAUCUUGGUUCUGCUGGAGAUUUAAAGCUGUUAAAACUAAUUUUUCCUUCUCACUGACACCAAGUGCUCCCUCAUAGGGGGUCAUCUGAUUGUUUGGGGUUGUUUUCUGUUAUUGCAGGGUCUUUUGGUGUUGUGAAGCAUCCCCUCUGUUCAAUGACUGUCGUUCACAUAGAUGGCCUCCUUCAGUCCUCUUUCAAACCAUCUGUCUUCUCUGUCCAAAAUGCAGACGCCUUUCACAUGGCACUCAGGACUGCUGCUGGUUUUAAUUUAUCUGAGAUCAGUUGGAUGUUUACCUAUGAUGCUUUUAACAGACGCUCCCAUGGCUAAGAACAAAUCAAUAACGAGCCUGUGGACCAGACCAGGCCCGGCAGGAUACCACCGCUGGUACAACCUCCCUUGGACAGAGGCGCGGACAUGAACCUUGGACAGACCGCCCAGCGGGGAGACAGGGGAUGAUGGGGAGGGAGGAGUGAGGAGGAUUC
Molecule: long non-coding RNA, 1153 nt
Organism: Oreochromis aureus
Lineage: Eukaryota; Metazoa; Chordata; Actinopteri; Cichliformes; Cichlidae
Exons: 3
Source: RefSeq, a predicted model, not a curated record